Molecule: ribosomal RNA, 303 nt
Filed under: uncultured prokaryote
Description: bacterial SSU rRNA
Rfam family: Bacterial small subunit ribosomal RNA
Source: RNAcentral
GUGUCAGCCGCCGCGGUAAUACGUAGGUGGCAAGCGUUGUCCGGAAUUAUUGGGCGUAAAGGGCUCGCAGGCGGUUCCUUAAGUCUGAUGUGAAAGCCCCCGGCUCAACCGGGGAGGGUCAUUGGAAACUGGGGAACUUGAGUGCAGAAGAGGAGAGUGGAAUUCCACGUGUAGCGGUGAAAUGCGUAGAGAUGUGGAGGAACACCAGUGGCGAAGGCGACUCUCUGGUCUGUAACUGACGCUGAGGAGCGAAAGCGUGGGGAGCGAACAGGAUUAGAUACCCCCGUAGUCCCCUCGUAGUCC